RNAcentral lists this ribosomal RNA (232 nucleotides) under Erythrobacter sp. YJ-T3-07. RNAcentral describes it as "partial 23S ribosomal RNA". It matches the Rfam family "Eukaryotic large subunit ribosomal RNA", at positions 172 to 404 of the family's 3401-position model. The record is from RNAcentral. Lineage: Bacteria; Pseudomonadati; Pseudomonadota; Alphaproteobacteria; Sphingomonadales; Erythrobacteraceae.
GGUACCUUUCGAGUUCCUUGGAACAGGACGCCUUAGAGGGUGAGAGCCCCGUACGAUUGGAUGCCGAGCCUCUGUAAAUCUCCUUCGACGAGUCGAGUAGUUUGGGAAUGCUGCUCUAAAUGGGAGGUAAAUUUCUUCUAAAGCUAAAUACCGGCCAGAGACCGAUAGCGCACAAGUAGAGUGAUCGAAAGAUGAAAAGCACUUUGAAAAGAGGGUUAAAUAGCACGUGAAA